RNAcentral lists this ribosomal RNA (578 nucleotides) under uncultured bacterium. RNAcentral describes it as "bacterial SSU rRNA". It matches the Rfam family "Bacterial small subunit ribosomal RNA", at positions 102 to 680 of the family's 1533-position model. The record is from RNAcentral.
ACGGGUGAGGAACACGUAGGAACUUGCCUUCUAGAGGGGGACAACCAAGGGAAACUUUGGCUAAUACCGCGUAAUCUCGCAAGAGGAAAGCUGCCCGCAAGGGUGGCGCUAGAAGAGAGGCCUGCGUCCGAUUAGCUAGUUGGUGAGGUAAAGGCUCACCAAGGCGAUGAUCGGUAACUGGUCUGAGAGGACGACCAGUCACACUGGGACUGAGACACGGCCCAGACUCCUACGGGAGGCAGCAGUGGGGAAUAUUGGACAAUGGGGGCAACCCUGAUCCAGCGAUGCCGCGUGGGUGAAGAAGGCCUUCGGGUUGUAAAGCCCUUUAGGCCGGGACGAAGUGUAAGAGUUUAAGAGAUACUUACAUUGACGGUACCGGCAGAAUAAGCACCGGCAAACUCUGUGCCAGCAGCCGCGGUAAUACAGAGGGUGCGAGCGUUAAUCGGAGUUACUGGGCGUAAAGGGCGCGUAGGCGGUUAUGUGAGUGUGAUGUGAAAGCCCUGGGCUUAACCUAGGAAGUGCAUCGCAAACGACAUAACUGGAGUAGAUGAGAGGGUGGUGGAAUUUCCGGUGUAGCG